GAUGAACGCUGACAGAAUGCUUAACACAUGCAAGUCGAUGGGGAAGUGGUGCUUGCACCAUGGCAACCAUGGCGGACGGGUGAGUAACGCGUAAGGGACUUACCUGCAGGACUGGGAUAACAGGGGGAAACUCCUGACAAGACCGGAUAAUGUCAUGGAGCUGCAUGGCUUUAUGAUGAAAGGAGACGCCUGCGGAGAGCCUUGCGUCCUAUUAGCUAGUUGGUGAGGUAAUGGCUCACCAAGGCGAAGAUAGGUAGCCGGCCUGAGAGGGUGGGCGGCCACAAGGGGACUGAGAUACGGCCCUUACUCCUACGGGAGGCAGCAGUGGGGAAUAUUGGACAAUGGGGGCAACCCUGAUCCAGCAAUUCUGUGUGCACGAAGAAGGUUUUCGGAUUGUAAAGUGCUUUCAGCAGGGAAGAAGUAAGUGACGGUACCUGCAGAAGAAGCGACGGCUAAAUACGUG
This 463-nucleotide ribosomal RNA is filed under the name uncultured bacterium. Its description in RNAcentral is "partial 16S ribosomal RNA". It matches the Rfam family "Bacterial small subunit ribosomal RNA", at positions 28 to 507 of the family's 1533-position model. The record is from RNAcentral.